GGGGACCCCAGGGGUGUCACUGGGUGUCACUGGGGUGUGGGGGGGUGUCAGCGGGGACCCCAGGGGUGUCACUGGGUGUCACAGGGGUGUCACAGGGUGUCAGCAGGGACCCCAGGGGUGUCACUGUGUGUCACAGGGGUGUCCCAGGGGAGUCAAGGGGACCCCAGGGGUGUCACUGGGUGUCC
Molecule: non-coding RNA, 185 nt
Organism: Phalacrocorax carbo (great cormorant)
Lineage: Eukaryota; Metazoa; Chordata; Aves; Suliformes; Phalacrocoracidae
Source: RefSeq, a predicted model, not a curated record